Molecule: ribosomal RNA, 483 nt
Filed under: uncultured bacterium
Lineage: Bacteria
Description: partial 16S ribosomal RNA
Rfam family: Bacterial small subunit ribosomal RNA
Source: RNAcentral
GACGAACGCUGGCGGCGUGCUUAACACAUGCAAGUCGAACGCUGAAGCUCAGCUUUUGUUGGGUGGAUGAGUGGCGAACGGGUGAGUAACACGUGAGUAACCUGCCCCCUUCUUUGGGAUAACGCCCGGAAACGGGUGCUAAUACUGGAUAUUCACUGGUCUUCGCAUGGGGGUUGGUGGAAAGGGUUUUUCUGGUGGGGGAUGGGCUCGCGGCCUAUCAGCUUGUUGGUGGGGUGAUGGCCUACCAAGGCUUUGACGGGUAGCCGGCCUGAGAGCGUGACCGGUCACAUUGGGACUGAGAUACGGCCCAGACUCCUACGGGAGGCAGCAGUGGGGAAUAUUGCACAAUGGGCGCAAGCCUGAUGCAGCGACGCCGCGUGAGGGAUGGAGGCCUUCGGGUUGUGAACCUCUUUCGCUCAUGGUCAAGCCGCAACAAUGGUUGUGGUGAGGGUAGUGGGUAAAGAAGCGCCGGCUAACUACGUG